AGAAUCAACGCUGGCGGCGUGCCUAACACAUGCAAGUCGAACGAGAAAGGGACUUCGGUCCUGAGUACAGCGGCGCACGGGUGAGUAACACGUGACUAACCUACCCUGGAGUGGGGAAUAACUGAGGGAAACCUUAGCUAAUACCGCAUAAUACCUACGGGUCAAAGGAGCAAUUCGCUUCAGGAGGGGUCGCGGCCGAUUAGCUAGUUGGCGGGGUAAUGGCCCACCAAGGCAAUGAUCGGUA
This 244-nucleotide ribosomal RNA is filed under the name uncultured bacterium. RNAcentral describes it as "partial small subunit ribosomal RNA". It matches the Rfam family "Bacterial small subunit ribosomal RNA", at positions 26 to 285 of the family's 1533-position model. The record is from RNAcentral.